AGAGUUUGAUCCUGGCUCAGGAUGAACGCUGGCGGCGUGCCUAAUACAUGCAAGUCGAGCGAACGGACGAGAAGCUUGCUUCUCUGAUGUUAGCGGCGGACGGGUGAGUAACACGUGGAUAACCUACCUAUAAGACUGGGAUAACUUCGGGAAACCGGAGCUAAUACCGGAUAAUAUUUUGAACUGCAUGGUUCAAAAGUGAAAGACGGUCUUGCUGUCACUUAUAGAUGGAUCCGCGCUGCAUUAGCUAGUUGGUAAGGUAACGGCUUACCAAGGCAACGAUGCAUAGCCGACCUGAGAGGGUGAUCGGCCACACUGGAACUGAGACACGGUCCAGACUCCUACGGGAGGCAGCAGUAGGGAAUCUUCCGCAAUGGGCGAAAGCCUGACGGAGCAACGCCGCGUGAGUGAUGAAGGUCUUCGGAUCGUAAAACUCUGUUAUUAGGGAAGAACAUAUGUGUAAGUAACUGUGCACAUCUUGACGGUACCUAAUCAGAAAGCCACGGCUAACUACGUGCCAGCAGCCGCGGUAAUACGUAGGUGGCAAGCGUUAUCCGGAAUUAUUGGGCGUAAAGCGCGCGUAGGCGGUUUUUUAAGUCUGAUGUGAAAGCCCACGGCUCAACCGUGGAGGGUCAUUGGAAACUGGAAAACUUGAGUGCAGAAGAGGAAAGUGGAAUUCCAUGUGUAGCGGUGAAAUGCGCAGAGAUAUGGAGGAACACCAGUGGCGAAGGCGACUUUCUGGUCUGUAACUGACGCUGAUGUGCGAAAGCGUGGGGAUCAAACAGGAUUAGAUACCCUGGUAGUCCACGCCGUAAACGAUGAGUGCUAAGUGUUAGGGGGUUUCCGCCCCUUAGUGCUGCAGCUAACGCAUUAAGCACUCCGCCUGGGGAGUACGACCGCAAGGUUGAAACUCAAAGGAAUUGACGGGGACCCGCACAAGCGGUGGAGCAUGUGGUUUAAUUCGAAGCAACGCGAAGAACCUUACCAAAUCUUGACAUCCUUUGACAACUCUAGAGAUAGAGCCUUCCCCUUCGGGGGACAAAGUGACAGGUGGUGCAUGGUUGUCGUCAGCUCGUGUCGUGAGAUGUUGGGUUAAGUCCCGCAACGAGCGCAACCCUUAAGCUUAGUUGCCAUCAUUAAGUUGGGCACUCUAAGUUGACUGCCGGUGACAAACCGGAGGAAGGUGGGGAUGACGUCAAAUCAUCAUGCCCCUUAUGAUUUGGGCUACACACGUGCUACAAUGGACAAUACAAAGGGCAGCGAAACCGCGAGGUCAAGCAAAUCCCAUAAAGUUGUUCUCAGUUCGGAUUGUAGUCUGCAACUCGACUACAUGAAGCUGGAAUCGCUAGUAAUCGUAGAUCAGCAUGCUACGGUGAAUACGUUCCCGGGUCUUGUACACACCGCCCGUCACACCACGAGAGUUUGUAACACCCGAAGCCGGUGGAGUAACCUUUUAGGAACUAGCCGUCGAAGGUGGGACAAAUGAUUGGGGUGAAGUCGUAACAAGGUAGCCGUAUCGGAAGGUGCGGCUGGAUCACCU
RNAcentral lists this ribosomal RNA (1540 nucleotides) under Staphylococcus aureus M0237. RNAcentral's name for it is "16S ribosomal RNA". It matches the Rfam family "Bacterial small subunit ribosomal RNA". Lineage: Bacteria; Bacillati; Bacillota; Bacilli; Caryophanales; Staphylococcaceae. The record is from RNAcentral.